RNAcentral lists this transfer RNA (79 nucleotides) under Burkholderiaceae bacterium. RNAcentral describes it as "tRNA-Trp". It matches the Rfam family "tRNA". Rfam says of the family: Transfer RNA (tRNA) molecules are approximately 80 nucleotides in length. Their secondary structure includes four short double-helical elements and three loops (D, anti-codon, and T loops). The record is from RNAcentral. Lineage: Bacteria; Pseudomonadati; Pseudomonadota; Betaproteobacteria; Burkholderiales; Burkholderiaceae.
AGGGGCAUAGCUCAAUUGGCAGAGCAGCGUCGGUCUCCAAAACCGAAGGUUGGGGGUUCGAUUCCCUCUGCCCCUGCCA